Lucilia cuprina (Australian sheep blowfly) is the source of this 313-nucleotide long non-coding RNA. RefSeq lists it as uncharacterized. The transcript is spliced from 2 exons. The record is from RefSeq and is a predicted model, not a curated record. NCBI's taxonomy places the organism in Eukaryota, Metazoa, Arthropoda, Insecta, Diptera, Calliphoridae.
AAAACACAUCUACUGUCAAAAUUUCAUUAUUCUAGGUUCAGCCGUUUGGGCUGUGCGAUGAUGAAUCAGUCAAUCAGUAACGCUACUCUUUUUAUAUAGGGUAAAUGUACCAGUAGUCGGCAGUUUAACGUUUUGCUCUUUUUCAAACUAUCCCCCUAAAGAGUCGGAAAAUAUCAAAAACACCAUAUUUUUUAUCAAAUAAAGGUGGACCCUUAAUAAAUUUGAACUGUUUCUCGUAAUUAUUUACAAUUUUAUUUAAAAAAUGCCGACUACUGGGUCAUGCCGACAUUAGGUGCAUUUACCCUAUAUAGAA